Magnolia sinica is the source of this 1167-nucleotide long non-coding RNA. RefSeq lists it as uncharacterized. The record is from RefSeq and is a predicted model, not a curated record. NCBI's taxonomy places the organism in Eukaryota, Viridiplantae, Streptophyta, Magnoliopsida, Magnoliales, Magnoliaceae. The transcript is spliced from 3 exons.
AUAAUGGGACCCUUGUGAUGGAUGAUCCGAUCUCGUACCUUUAUGCAUCCAUUUGUUUUUGCCAUGGUUUUAUUCAUGAACAUGUAUUGCUUGCUACUAGUUGUAGCAUUGGAGAAAGCUACACUUUCAGAUGAGUAUUUUGUGAAGAGGAAGCUUUAUCCAAACUUGGUUUUCUACUCUGGCUUAAUUUAUCGGUAUAUUCAAGAAAAUUUCUACUCUGGCAUCCAUUCUUACUUAACACCCCUGACCUUAAUUACUUUGCUUAGGAUGUGUUUCAGAUAAAGUAUUAAGUGUUCUGUCAGAGUUUCAUUUGAUUUGAUAUACAGUUUGUUCUAUUUUUUUACAAGAGUGGCUUGCCCAGAAGAAAAUAUUGAUAUUCUAACUUGGUUUUUGAAUGUUAGGCAUUGCGUUGGAGACAAAGUGAAUGUUCUUUUCUAGCCUCUAUUUUUUUGUGAUGCUUCGGAAGCAUUGUUGAAGUUUUCAGCUUCCAACUGCUUCUUUAUUUCCAUUGGAAUUUCAAACUUUGAUCAUCAAUGUGGGAAUUCAAUUGAGUCGACUUAGAAACGGUUGCAUCUCAUUUGGAUAGCAUUGAUCAGAGAAGAAUGAAUCCUUUGCAAUCUAUCAUCUAUUGGGUUAUACACAUCACUACAAGAAAUUGACUUUUGUUGGCUGGCUUUAAUUAUUAUCUCUCGAAUCAUAAAUUAAGGUCUAUCAGUUGUGUGGCCCAUUGUCUAAUCUUCAACAAAUGAAUUAGUUGUGAUCAUCUGCAGUACAUGAGCCCACUGGAUGAACAUGUACUCGAUGUACAGUGGGAGACUACAACUUUGGGAGUGAAGGCAUUCUACAUGGCAGAUUUCUUUGUAGCAGAUGUUGGUUACUGAAUUUUGUUCUUCUUAUAACUAUCAUCUAUUUACAAAAUAUAGAUUCUAUCUUACUGGUUGCUUGAAAUGCUUUUCAGUCGCGGGUUCCACUUGAGUAUCAUGCUAUCGACAGCUCUAUUUCAAGCCGAUAUCGACUAAACAUGGUUGCAGAAGAAAGUCGUCAUUUACAAUUUGCCAUGAGCUUGUAUGGUUUAUUUUUGUGAUUUAUAUGCCUUUUAGAUGCAUAAUCUGUAACUUACUACAAUCUUUCAAGAAUUGAUUAUAUUAUUUGGCUUCUCUCAAAUCA